This 243-nucleotide ribosomal RNA is filed under the name uncultured bacterium. Its description in RNAcentral is "partial 16S ribosomal RNA". It matches the Rfam family "Bacterial small subunit ribosomal RNA", at positions 57 to 305 of the family's 1533-position model. The record is from RNAcentral.
GCAAGUCGAGCGCGAAAGCCUUUCGGGGUGAGUAGAGCGGCGGACGGGUGAGUAACGCGUAGGAAUCUACCUGGUAGUGGGGGACAACUUGGGGAAACUCAAGCUAAUACCGCAUACGCCCUAAGGGGGAAAGCAGGGGAUCUUCGGACCUUGCGCUAUUGGAAGAGCCUGCGUUGGAUUAGCUAGUUGGUGGGGUAAAGGCCCACCAAGGCGACGAUCCAUAGCUGGUCUGAGAGGAUGAUC